RNAcentral lists this ribosomal RNA (477 nucleotides) under uncultured bacterium. RNAcentral's name for it is "partial 16S ribosomal RNA". It matches the Rfam family "Bacterial small subunit ribosomal RNA", at positions 28 to 507 of the family's 1533-position model. The record is from RNAcentral.
GAUGAACGCUGGCGGCGUGCCUAACACAUGCAAGUCGAACGAAGCACCUUACCUGAUUCUUCGGAUGAAAGUUUGGUGACUGAGUGGCGGACGGGUGAGUAACGCGUGGGUAACCUGCCCUGUACAGGGGGAUAACAGCUGGAAACGGCUGCUAAUACCGCAUAAGCGCACGAGGAGACAUCUCCUUGUGUGAAAAACUCCGGUGGUACAGGAUGGGCCCGCGUCUGAUUAGCUGAUUGGCAGGGUAACGGCCUACCAAGGCAACGAUCAGUAGCCGGUCUGAGAGGAUGAACGGCCACAUUGGAGCUGAGACACGGUCCAAACUCCUACGGGAGGCAGCAGUGGGGAAUAUUGCACAAUGGGGGAAACCCUGAUGCAGCAACGCCGCGUGAGUGAAGAAGUAUUUCGGUAUGUAAAGCUCUAUCAGCAGGGAAGAUAAUGACGGUACCUGACUAAGAAGCUCCGGCUAAAUACGUG